Molecule: long non-coding RNA, 4230 nt
Organism: Metopolophium dirhodum (rose-grain aphid)
Lineage: Eukaryota; Metazoa; Arthropoda; Insecta; Hemiptera; Aphididae
Exons: 3
Source: RefSeq, a predicted model, not a curated record
UAUAGUUUUUUUGUGUAUGUGUAUUCUGUUUAAAAUUUAAUACAAGAAUAAUGGAAAUUAAUAUUACUCCUACAACCGACAGUAAAACCAGAAAAAGGAUACGAAAUACAGCUGAAUGGAAAAGAAACCAGCAGAAAAAAAUACGGUUAGUGUUAGUAUUACCUAUAAGAAUACAAAAAAUAGUCCUAAAAAAAUAUGACGCAAGUUAAACCUUUUUAUUUUUAUUCGUCGACGUGGACAUGGAAAUUAUUAUAAUUUUUAUGAUUAUAAUUCUGAUUAAUUUUUAAUAUCCAUACUACUUAUCAACUUUAAAAUUAAAAAUAUAAUAUUUUACAAUACAACCUGAAUAAACACUAACCCCAUUAGGAUCUUAUCCCGCCUGACCUUAUUUUUUGGGCGUAGCCCGUUUCACCCAAAAAUGACCCUGCCCGUUUCCCCGGCUACCCGUUUAGCCCAAAUUGUGUUUCAUUAUAAUUCCCGUUUCGCCCAGAGUAGUUUAGACCAAUUUAAAAUGAAGUUGAAAAUAGUUCAGUCAAAUAUUAUAAGCGUACGCCAAGAAGAAAUGGUGCUAAAGUUUCUGACAACAAAUAACACGCAUGACAAUAUAUUUUAUAAAAUGUUUUUAUUUCCAUAUAAUAUAUAUGUAUAUAUAUAGCAGUAAAUUUUAUGAAUUAAUUAAUUGAAAUAUUGUUUUGAACAAUUUAAAAAUAGCAAAAAAAAUCAAUUUUAAGUUAGUUAUUCGCAUGACACAAUUGAAUAACAAUACUCUUUCUUUGACGUAACUAAUAGGUGGUGCCUAUUGUUUAGGUAUAGUCUGCAUAUGCUUCCAGUUUACCCAACUUGUGGACAUAAAACAAAUAAUGCAUUUCAGUGUGCUUCCAUUACUAUGACUGAAAUAAAAGAGUUCCAUUCGAAGUUUUACGAAACGAAAGAAAAAAUAGUACAAGACAAUUUUAUUUUGAAAUAUUGUAAAACUGUUCCUGUAAAGCGAAAUGACCAAAAAAUGCUUGACAUACUCAAAAAGUAUUUCAAGCGCAAUUUUUCGUCCUCACUAAGCAAAAAACUUUUUUGCCUGUUUGUAAAAAAGGUUUUAUGGACAUUUUACGCAUAACUAGAAGAAAAAUUGACACUGUCACUAGAAACUUUUUUAAUACCUCUUUACCAUCCGAGGAGAAUCGUGGAGACGAUAGAAAAUUGGAAAAAAACAGGACACAGAGAGAUUCAGCUAUGCAUUUUAUAAACAAAUUUAAGGUAAUUGAAUAUCACUAUUACCGAGGGGCGAGGACACAGCCAACGUUUAUAUCUCGACUUCACUUUGAAUAUCAGAUUGAUGUGGAAAAUGUACAUGAAGGAAAACAUCAACUUUCCAGUAAAAGAGAGUUAUUUUAGAUUCAUUUUUAACACUGAAUACAACAUAGGUUUCGGCACGCCUAGGACUGACGUUUGCUCAACAUGCUUACAGUUGAUCGAAAAAAUUAAAAGAUGCAAUGAUCAAGGCUAGCUUAUUGACGGAGAAAAAGGUACAUAAAAUGAGAGCAGAUGCAUUUUACCAAAUUUUAAGAGAAUCUGCAGAGAGGGUGUCGUAAUUUUUUCGUUUGAUUGUCAAAAAAAUCAGGUUCUACCGAAAGUUCUUGAUCAGCAAGCGUACUAAUCUAAAUUUACAAGUUUAACUUUACUGUUGUGAGAGGCACUUGUAAAAGCAAAAUAAAUCCCAAUACAGUCACCAGUUUCUGUUGGACUGAAAAUGAAUACGACAAAGAUUCAAAUGCGAUUGCUUCCUGUAUUCAUCACGUUUUGACAUCGUCAACUUUUAAUGAUAUUCAUACUAUUAAGCUUAUGUGUGAUGGCUGCGUGGGCCAGAACAAAAACACAACACUAAUUUCAAUGUGUUGCAACUGGCUCGCCAAACAAAAUGUAAUUUCAAAAAUUGAAGUUGUAUUCCCAGUAAGAGGGCACUCUUUUAUUCCUCCUGAUCGCGUCUUUGGUUAUAUCGAAGUGGAGUGCAAAAAGAAGGAAAUAAUUUUAGAACCUCAGGAAUACUUUUUUAAAAAUAUGGGACUGAAAAAGGACGCUUUCCAACGCUUCAACCGCUAUCGAAAACCAAACUUUCGAUGCAGGCGUGACAAAAAAUAAUGAUAGGUGCCAAUUCACGCACAGUUUGCAAUAAUAAAAUAAUUAGGUAAUAUUAAAAAGGUGGCGAUUUGCGCCUAUGGCUAUUUAAUAUAAAACGGUGAUGCGACACAAUAGUAUAAACGUAUUGCCUUUAUGGCUCACAAUUAUAAAAUAAGUAUAAUAAAUCUGACUGCACACCACACGUCGGUAUUCGCGCAACACAAAAUAUAAUAUAAAAGGGUGUUUUGUGCCCACAAUUUUACUUAACAAUUAAUAUAAUAUCAAUAUGCCCUUCUGGCGCUCACAGUUAUAAAAAAAAAAACAAUAAUAAUUUUUACUAUUUGAGUAAAUAAACACUUUAUAAAUUAUAAUGACAUACAUCGAUACUGCCGAUACUAGCUUAUAAACCAUACAAUUUUGAAAAUAUUUUGACUCUUUUUGAGCUGUUUACGGACAUUGAUAAAUGUUGUCAGAAAUCUAACUUUAAAUGCCUAUCAAAAAAAAUUGUGCCUAUGUAAUUUUUAUAUGUUUCAACUGCUAUUUAAACAAUAUAUAAGGCGCCUUGUAUUAAUUAAUAUUAAUAAUUUUGACUCUUUUUGGUUCAACAAAUAAAAUUUCAUUGAUAUUUAUAGAAAAAAAAAACUAAAAAAUUAAAAUUUGACAAUGUCCGUAAAUAGCUCAAAAAAAGUCAAAAUAUUUUCAAAAUUUUAUGGUUUAUAGAAAAUUAAAAUAUAAACAUUCAGUGAAAUUGCCAUGUAUUUACAGUUAUUCGUUUUUGAAUUAUAACAAUAUAACCAAUUCGCUACAUGAAAAAUCGAGUGAAUAUCCUAUCUUGUAAAAAUAUAAACCUCAAACGCUCAUACAAAUUUAUAUUUGAUUUGCUUUAAGUCAUUUUUUUUUUUUUUUUUGAUAUCUCAGAUUAAAAAGAAAAUUUUUUAUGAAUUCUCAACUCAAAAUAAUUUGCUAAUUUUCGUGAUUUUUCCGUAUAUUGUCAAGGUUUGAACUUUAAAUGCUUAUAAAAAAUACUGUGACUUCUACUGUGUUUUUUAAUAUUUUUCAAAUGUUAUUGUAACAAUAUAGUAGGAGCCUUGUAUUACAUUUUCAAGCUUUUUUACAAAACAAAUAAAGUUUUAUUGACCUUCUCAAAAAAGACAAACAAAAUUGGAAAGUGAAAAUGUCUCUAAACAGUUCAAAACAAAUAAAAAUAUUUUGAAAAUAUUAUCAUGUAUAGUAAAUGCAAAUAUAAACAACCAGUGAAAAUUUCAUAUCUUUAUUUGUUUUAGAGUUAUACCAAAAUCCAAAAUCGAUAUUAUCAAAAACCGAUUUUUCGUAAAAAUUCCUGUUUUUCCUCAAUUGUUAUGUUAUUUUUCCCGUCGCCUUUUCGAAAACUAUUGGGAUUUAAAAAUUUGGACGUCCUGAAUGCACCAACUAGAUUCACUUUCCCAUCGAACAAGAUAGGUACUGUUGAAGAAAAUCUAAGCAGUUUUACUGCCACAAACGGUGGUGACGGACAGAAAUAUUUAAAAUUAAAAAAAAAAAAAACACAUCACUGUAAAAUUAAUAUAUUAAUUGCUCCGCUCAUAAUCUAAAAGUGCUUUUUUGAAACUUUGGGACUUAUCCACUAGUAGAAUAUGUCUGAUUGCAUAUACUGGAUCUGGAGCCUAGAACAACUGGAAAACAAGAUCAUCGUACACAAGCAUUGUUUAAUCAUACCUAGGAAAAUGUCAUGCUUCCAGAUGAAGCCACUACAUCUUUGUGCGCAUGGAAUGCACGCAAUGCUUCUCGGCAGCAACUUUUAUCUCUAGACCAUAAUGGACCUAUUCGUUCAAUAGUGCAUUCUCCAAAUUCAGCAGUAUUUUUGACUUGUUCAGACGACUUUUGGUAUAGAAAACUCUUGAUUGGAGCAUAGAUUGAAUAUUUUUUGUUUUUAUUUAAAAACUAUUUAUUUAUUUAAUUUUGAAUAAACAUUUAAUGUACAUUAGUAAAAAUAACAAAUUAUAUAAAAUAUAUAACUAUUGGAUUCAUUGAAAUAUAUAUUUUUAAUUUAAUAAUAUAAUAAUAAUAAUAAUAAUAUUUCCAACAUUUCAAAUUAUACAUAAUAAUAUAUAGAGUAUGGAA